AUGCCAACGGAGUUUGAAGCUGCCUGGGCUGAACUCGUGCACAAGUACAACCUGGAGAACGACCAGAUGAUGAUGCAGCUGUGGAGUGAUAGGAAAAUGUGGAUUUCAGCAUUUUACAAGAACAUUUUAUGUGCCAGAAUGACUUCCACAAAACAAAGCGAGAGCAUGAAUCACGUGCUCAAGAGAGGGUUUGUCAAGGGGACCCAGAACCUACACAAGUUUGCUAGGCAGACCAAUCCUAUGACAAAAACAACCUACAGCUAUGAGGAAGACAUGGCUAUCAAGUACAUGAGAGCCGUGUACACCGAGAUGAGUACUAGGAUGAGAAAAGCCACGAUGUUUCACGCAAAGCCUACAGCAGAGCCCACUAAGUACCUUGUGUACUAUCACAACAAGGCUGGCCAUGAUGAUGAAAACAGAUUUGCCUGGUCAAAGCAUGAAUUCUAG
Molecule: ribosomal RNA, 447 nt
Filed under: Triticum aestivum (bread wheat)
Lineage: Eukaryota; Viridiplantae; Streptophyta; Magnoliopsida; Poales; Poaceae
Description: partial small subunit ribosomal RNA
Source: RNAcentral